RNAcentral lists this unclassified non-coding RNA (234 nucleotides) under uncultured fungus. RNAcentral's name for it is "sequence contains ITS1". Lineage: Eukaryota; Fungi. The record is from RNAcentral.
ACAGAAACCCACCCAAUAUUGCUACCCUUGGGGCAGUUCCACUAACCCGCGUCACAGGUGAACCUGCGGAAGGAUCAUUACGAAGCGUCUCGAGGCUCCGGCCUCGAAACCUCAACCCUUUGUGUAUAGACCGCUCAGUUGUUGCCUCGGCGGGCGCUCGUUGCCCGCCGGUGGACAGCCCAAACUCUGUUUGAACAUUGCAGUCGGAGCUUAAUGCAAAGCAAAACCAAAUCA